RNAcentral lists this ribosomal RNA (1677 nucleotides) under Escherichia coli. Its description in RNAcentral is "bacterial LSU rRNA". It matches the Rfam family "Bacterial large subunit ribosomal RNA", at positions 1270 to 2925 of the family's 2925-position model. Lineage: Bacteria; Pseudomonadati; Pseudomonadota; Gammaproteobacteria; Enterobacterales; Enterobacteriaceae. The record is from RNAcentral.
AUGCUGGAGGUAUCAGAAGUGCGAAUGCUGACAUAAGUAACGAUAAAGCGGGUGAAAAGCCCGCUCGCCGGAAGACCAAGGGUUCCUGUCCAACGUUAAUCGGGGCAGGGUGAGUCGACCCCUAAGGCGAGGCCGAAAGGCGUAGUCGAUGGGAAACAGGUUAAUAUUCCUGUACUUGGUGUUACUGCGAAGGGGGGACGGAGAAGGCUAUGUUGGCCGGGCGACGGUUGUCCCGGUUUAAGCGUGUAGGCUGGUUUUCCAGGCAAAUCCGGAAAAUCAAGGCUGAGGCGUGAUGACGAGGCACUACGGUGCUGAAGCAACAAAUGCCCUGCUUCCAGGAAAAGCCUCUAAGCAUCAGGUAACAUCAAAUCGUACCCCAAACCGACACAGGUGGUCAGGUAGAGAAUACCAAGGCGCUUGAGAGAACUCGGGUGAAGGAACUAGGCAAAAUGGUGCCGUAACUUCGGGAGAAGGCACGCUGAUAUGUAGGUGAAGUCCCUUGCGGAUGGAGCUGAAAUCAGUCGAAGAUACCAGCUGGCUGCAACUGUUUAUUAAAAACACAGCACUGUGCAAACACGAAAGUGGACGUAUACGGUGUGACGCCUGCCCGGUGCCGGAAGGUUAAUUGAUGGGGUUAGCGGUAACGCGAAGCUCUUGAUCGAAGCCCCGGUAAACGGCGGCCGUAACUAUAACGGUCCUAAGGUAGCGAAAUUCCUUGUCGGGUAAGUUCCGACCUGCACGAAUGGCGUAAUGAUGGCCAGGCUGUCUCCACCCGAGACUCAGUGAAAUUGAACUCGCUGUGAAGAUGCAGUGUACCCGCGGCAAGACGGAAAGACCCCGUGAACCUUUACUAUAGCUUGACACUGAACAUUGAGCCUUGAUGUGUAGGAUAGGUGGGAGGCUUUGAAGUGUGGACGCCAGUCUGCAUGGAGCCGACCUUGAAAUACCACCCUUUAAUGUUUGAUGUUCUAACGUUGGCCCCUGAUCGGGGUUGCGGACAGUGUCUGGUGGGUAGUUUGACUGGGGCGGUCUCCUCCUAAAGAGUAACGGAGGAGCACGAAGGUUGGCUAAUCCUGGUCGGACAUCAGGAGGUUAGUGCAAUGGCAUAAGCCAGCUUGACUGCGAGCGUGACGGCGCGAGCAGGUGCGAAAGCAGGUCAUAGUGAUCCGGUGGUUCUGAAUGGAAGGGCCAUCGCUCAACGGAUAAAAGGUACUCCGGGGAUAACAGGCUGAUACCGCCCAAGAGUUCAUAUCGACGGCGGUGUUUGGCACCUCGAUGUCGGCUCAUCACAUCCUGGGGCUGAAGUAGGUCCCAAGGGUAUGGCUGUUCGCCAUUUAAAGUGGUACGCGAGCUGGGUUUAGAACGUCGUGAGACAGUUCGGUCCCUAUCUGCCGUGGGCGCUGGAGAACUGAGGGGGGCUGCUCCUAGUACGAGAGGACCGGAGUGGACGCAUCACUGGUGUUCGGGUUGUCAUGCCAAUGGCACUGCCCGGUAGCUAAAUGCGGAAGAGAUAAGUGCUGAAAGCAUCUAAGCACGAAACUUGCCCCGAGAUGAGUUCUCCCUGACCCUUUAAGGGUCCUGAAGGAACGUUGAAGACGACGACGUUGAUAGGCCGGGUGUGUAAGCGCAGCGAUGCGUUGAGCUAACCGGUACUAAUGAACCGUGAGGCUUAACCUU